Molecule: ribosomal RNA, 542 nt
Filed under: uncultured bacterium
Lineage: Bacteria
Description: bacterial SSU rRNA
Rfam family: Bacterial small subunit ribosomal RNA
Source: RNAcentral
ACGGAAUAGAUACCCUGGUAGUCCACGCCCUAAACGAUGUCUACUAGUUGUUGGUGGAGUAAAAUCCAUGAGUAAACGCAGCUAAACGCGUGAAGUAGACCGCCUGGGGAGUACGGUCGCAAGAUUAAAACUCAAAUGAAUUGACGGGGGCCCGCACAAGCGGUGGAUUAUGUGGAUCAAUUCGAUGCAACGCGAAAACCUUACCUGGCCUUGACAUGUAACGAACUUUCCAGAGAUGGAUUGGUGCUCGAAAGAGAACGUUAACACAGGUGCUGCAUGGCUGUCGUCAGCUCGUGUCGUGAGAUGUUGGGUUAAGUCCCGCAACGAGCGCAACCCUUGCCAUUAAUUGCCAUCAUUUAGUUGGGCACUUUAAUGGGACUGCCGGUGACAAACCGGAGGAAGGUGGGGAUGACGUCAAGUCCUCAUGGCCCUUAUGGCCAGGGCUUCACACGUAAUACAAUGGUCGGUACAGAGGGUUGCCAACCCGCAGGGGAGCCAAUCCCAGAAAGCCGGAUCGUAGUCCGGAUUGUAGUCUGCAACUC